RNAcentral lists this ribosomal RNA (253 nucleotides) under uncultured bacterium. RNAcentral's name for it is "partial 16S ribosomal RNA". It matches the Rfam family "Bacterial small subunit ribosomal RNA", at positions 524 to 776 of the family's 1533-position model. The record is from RNAcentral.
UACGGGGGGGGCAAGCGUUGUUCGGAAUUACUGGGCGUAAAGGGCUCGUAGGCGGCCAACUAAGUCAGACGUGAAAUCCCUCGGCUUAACCGGGGAACUGCGUCUGAUACUGGAUGGCUUGAGUUUGGGAGAGGGAUGCGGAAUUCCAGGUGUAGCGGUGAAAUGCGUAGAUAUCAGGAGGAAUACCGAUGGCGAGGGCAGGUCUCUGGGUCGAUACUGACGCUCAUGCACGAAAGCGUGGGGAGCAAACAGG